AGUGAACGCUGGCGGUAGGCCUAACACAUGCAAGUCGAACGGCAGCACAGUAAGAGCUUGCUCUUACGGGUGGCGAAUGGCGGACGGGAGAGGAAUACAUCGGAAUCUACUUUUUCGUGGGGGAUAACGUAGGGAAACUUACGCUAAUACCGCAUACGCCCUACGGGUGAAAGCAGGGGAUCUUCUGACCUUGCGCGAUUGAAUGAGCCGAUGUCGGAUUAGCUAGUUGGCGGGGUAAAGGCCCACCAUGGCGACGAUCCGUAGCUGGUCUGAGAGGAUGAUCAGCCACACUGGAACUGAGACACGGUCCAGACUCCUACGGGAGGCAGCAGUGGGGAAUAUUGGACAAUGGGCGCAAGCCUGAUCCAGCCAUACCGCGUGGGUGAAGAAGGCCUUCGGGUUGUAAAGCCCUUUUGUUGGGAAAGAAAAGCAGCAGGUUAAUACCCCGCGGGUCUGACGGUACCCAAUGAAGAAGCACCGGCUAACUUCGUG
RNAcentral lists this ribosomal RNA (492 nucleotides) under uncultured bacterium. Its description in RNAcentral is "partial 16S ribosomal RNA". It matches the Rfam family "Bacterial small subunit ribosomal RNA", at positions 29 to 507 of the family's 1533-position model. The record is from RNAcentral.